RNAcentral lists this ribosomal RNA (402 nucleotides) under uncultured bacterium. RNAcentral's name for it is "partial 16S ribosomal RNA". It matches the Rfam family "Archaeal small subunit ribosomal RNA", at positions 473 to 873 of the family's 1478-position model. The record is from RNAcentral.
ACACCGGCAGCUCAAGUGGUAGCCGCUUUUAUUGGGCCUAAAGCGUCCGUAGCCGGUCUGAUAAGUCUCUGGUGAAAUCCCACAGCUUAACUGUGGGAAUUGCUGGAGAUACUAUCAUGACUCGAGGUCGGGAGAGGCUGGAGGUACUCCCAGGGUAGGGGUGAAAUCCUGUAAUCCUGGGAGGACCACCUGUGGCGAAGGCGUCCAGCUGGAACGAACCUGACGGUGAGGGACGAAAGCCAGGGGCGCGAACCGGAUUAGAUACCCGGGUAGUCCUGGCCGUAAACGAUGUGGACUUGGUGUUGGGAUGGCUUCGAGCUGCCCCAGUGCCGAAGGGAAGCUGUUAAGUCCACCGCCUGGGAAGUACGGCCGCAAGGCUGAAACUUAAAGGAAUUGACGGGG